UCUCUCUCUCUCUCUCUCUCUCCCUCCCUCUGGUUAUUACUCAAUUGCAGCCAGAUAUGGAGCUACGGUCAGAGUUAUGCGGUCUCGUGCGCCCUCUUCUCUGUCCAUCUCUGAAACCAAAUGUAUAAUCCAAGCCAACGCAGCGAGAGAGAAGAAGCUUCACGAAGCUCUCUGGUGCAGACGUGGACAUAUUUAGCACAAAGCAACACAACGCCAGAAGUAGCAGCCUCGAUCUGAUGAGUUGUUGCAGAAGACAAUGGAUUUCUCAGUAAAAAUUAAAAUGGGCGAAUUUUCAUUUUCCAUUGUUUAUGCUUAAUUUUUUAUUUUCCGAUUAAUUAAGUAGCAUUAAUCGUAUUUUAUUUUUGUAAUUUUUUGGGGUUGAGCAGAGAUCGAGUUCUUUAUCAUUGGGAGAGUGGAUUUGCGCAGCAAUUAUACCAUUUGUAGCAAUCAUAGAGGUUUUGAUUUUUGCUGUGACCGAUUGCUUCAGCGAUCGUGUGUGCGACUCUCGUCGAUGAAACCAGAUUUACUGUUAAUGAGCUAGAGGAUGAGCUGUUUAAAAAGCUGAGUAGUUCAAUUAUCGACGACGGAUCGAUUCAUAAGGUCUGCUACAUCAAAGUUGACCAUGGAGAAUGUGCCAUGGCAUGCUGAUGUUAAGGCUUUUUCAGAGGCCUUAGCUUUGAAAAGUAACGGGGAAUAUGAGGUGGCAUGUGAGCAUGUCCACUCAUGUUCAAUUCAUUCGUUCCUAUGGAAAAUUUAGGUGUCUUCCGGAAGACCUUUUGACAGUAAGGAUUACAUGGCUGCCACACCUUCAUGGGCUAUUUAUGGUGCAGAGGAAGGUGGAUUUGAUCUGUAUCAGUCUCGAUACAAGAAGGAGCGUCAUCACAAAUCAAACCAGUGACAACUAGGAAGAGUUUCAACUAGCACUAUUCAGAAUUCUGUUUGUGCCUAAUAAAUCAUGGCCAGAAGGAGCCCCUUUUUCUCGGCCCUAGCACUUGCUCGUAAAUCUAAAGAU
Prunus avium (sweet cherry) is the source of this 1012-nucleotide non-coding RNA. Lineage: Eukaryota; Viridiplantae; Streptophyta; Magnoliopsida; Rosales; Rosaceae. The record is from RefSeq and is a predicted model, not a curated record.